UUUCUAGAGAUAUAAAGUUUGCUCCAUUUGGAUUAGAAUUAAGAAAGUUAUGCUUAGUCAAAAUGAAACAUUUUUUUAGGACACUUAGAAAAAUUUCUAAGUCCAAAAUCUUCAAAAUUUGUCAAGACUUCUUGGCCAGUUUUCUUGCACUUCAAGGCAUUAUUUGAAAAUACUUUCUUCAUAACAAUUGUACCUUGCCAUGUCCUCU
Molecule: long non-coding RNA, 208 nt
Filed under: Lathyrus oleraceus (garden pea)
Lineage: Eukaryota; Viridiplantae; Streptophyta; Magnoliopsida; Fabales; Fabaceae
Description: Pisum sativum (pea) long non-coding RNA (PSAT_LNC021109)
Source: RNAcentral